GCCGUCACCUGGGAAACGGGAAGCGUUCGCCAGCCCGCCGACCGAAGCUAGUUUCAUGGCAGCCACGAAGAAAGCAGUUUUGGGGCCGUUGGUGGGAGCAGUGGACCAGGGCACCAGCUCGACGCGCUUUUUGGUUUUCAAUUCAAAAACAGCCGAACUACUUAGUCAUCAUCAAGUGGAAAUAAAACAAGAGUUUCCUAAAGAAGGAUGGGUGGAACAAGACCCCAAGGAAAUCCUGCUGUCCGUCUAUGAGUGUAUAGAGAAAACGUGUGAGAAACUUGGACAGCUCAAUAUUGAUAUUUCCAACAUAAAAGCUAUUGGUGUCAGUAACCAGAGGGAAACCACUGUAGUCUGGGACAAGUUAACUGGAGAACCUCUUUACAAUGCUGUGGUGUGGCUCGACCUGAGAACCCAGUCUACCGUUGAGAGUCUUAGUAAAAGCAUUCCAGUAAAUAACAACUUUGUCAAGACCAAGACGGGCCUUCCACUGAGCACUUACUUCAGCGCAGUGAAACUCCGUUGGCUCCUUGACAACGUGAGAAAAGUUAAAAAGGCAGUUGAAGAAGAUAGAGCGCUUUUUGGGACCAUUGAUUCAUGGCUUAUUUGGAGCUUGACGGGAGGAGCCCAAGGAGGUGUCCAUUGUACAGAUGUAACAAAUGCAAGCAGGACAAUGCUUUUCAACAUUCACUCUUUGGAAUGGGAUAAAGAGCUCUGCGAGUUUUUUGAAGUUCCAAUGAAAAUUCUCCCAAAUAUCCGGAGUUCUUCUGAGAUCUAUGGCCUAAUGAAAGCUGGGUCUUUGGAAGGUGUGCCCAUAUCGGGGUGUCUGGGGGACCAGUCUGCUGCAUUGGUGGGACAACUGUGCUUCCAGGAUGGACAAGCCAAAAACACGUAUGGGACAGGCUGUUUCUUACUAUGCAAUACAGGCCAUAAGUGUGUAUUUUCUGAACACGGCCUUCUGACCACAGUGGCUUACAAGCUCGGCAGAGACAAACCAGUAUAUUAUGCACUAGAAGGUUCCGUAGCUAUAGCCGGUGCUGUCGUUCGCUGGCUAAGGGACAAUCUUGGAAUUAUAAAGACCUCAGAGGAAAUUGAAAAACUUGCUAAAGAAGUAGGUACCUCUUAUGGUUGCUAUUUCGUCCCAGCCUUUUCAGGCCUAUAUGCCCCUUAUUGGGAGCCCAGUGCCAGAGGGAUCAUCUGUGGGCUCACUCAGUUCACCAAUAAAUGCCAUAUUGCUUUUGCUGCACUAGAAGCUGUUUGUUUCCAAACCCGAGAAAUUCUGGACGCCAUGAACCGCGACUGUGGAAUUCCACUCAGUCACUUGCAGGUGGACGGGGGGAUGACCAACAACAAAAUUCUGAUGCAACUGCAAGCCGACAUUCUGUAUAUCCCGGUAGUGAAGCCCUCGAUGCCGGAAACAACUGCCUUGGGAGCUGCCAUGGCCGCAGGGGCUGCAGAAGGGGUCAGCGUGUGGAGUCUCGAGCCUGAGGAUUUGUCAGCUGUCACGAUGGAGCGGUUUGAACCUCAGAUCAAUGCCAAGGAGAGCGAAAUUCGUUAUUCCACAUGGAAGAAAGCUGUGAUGAAGUCCAUGGGUUGGGCUACCACUAAGUCUUCAGAAAAUGGUGACACUGGCAUCUUUAGUAGUCUGCCCUUGGGCUUUUUUGUAGUGAGUAGCAUGGUCAUGUUAAUCGGAGCCAGGUACCUCUCAGGUGUGCCAUAAAUAAUACCAACUCCUGGAUCCCAAAGAUCUUGACUUAAGGAGAGAAGUCAGUGGUUCUGUCUCUUAAUGUGCUGACACUAUUCAUAGACUCUGAUUUUAUUUACAAGCCACUUGCUGCAUGACCCUCCAAGUAGACCUGUGGCUUGAAAUAAAGAAAAUGGGGC
Non-coding RNA from Odocoileus virginianus texanus, 1881 nucleotides. The record is from RefSeq and is a predicted model, not a curated record. Lineage: Eukaryota; Metazoa; Chordata; Mammalia; Artiodactyla; Cervidae.